Non-coding RNA from Triticum urartu, 899 nucleotides. Lineage: Eukaryota; Viridiplantae; Streptophyta; Magnoliopsida; Poales; Poaceae. The record is from RefSeq and is a predicted model, not a curated record.
GGUCUUCCUCGGCGGCUGCAGCUGACUGCUCCACGGAUGGAGCCUCCAACCUUCACAAAGCCAAGCACGCGACGAGAUCAGCAUCAUCCUCGCCUACUUCCUAUUCGUGGGAUUCCUCGUGGCUAUGGACAAAGGUGUUUCAAAUGUUCCAUGUGGCCUUGGCAUAUGGAACAAAUUCUGGGAAGUUCCACAACUUCUUGUAUCUCUGAAUGAAGUUUAUCGUCUUGAAUCUUCAGAAAACAACUCAAUAUUUGAAGUGCUACGAUAGACAUUCAUCCAGUGUCCUGUUGCAUGCCCACAUAUUCUCUCUCAGUUACUAACUUGUUUGGACAGACAGAUGAAUGACAGCCAGCCAUUGAAUUCCUCCUGGGAAGUUCUGUCACCGAUUGGAUCUCUGGAAGAAGAGUUUCUUCAUCUUGUGCUUUCAGAAAACACUUGUUAGCGCGCUCUGGAUACCAUCCUCCUGCCGAAAUGCAGAGGCUUUUAGGUAUAUUGAGCAUACUGCAGGAAACAAGACGAGAUGCCGGAGAUUCGAGGGCAUGGAUGGGUAGAAGAUGAUGUGGUUUUAAUCAACUUUGGGCCGUUUAUCCUUCUGGGGAGUUUUGAGACUGUGAUAUGCCAUAUUGAGCAGCUACGCGUAUCUCUAUAUACUUGUAGUUUGACUCAUAACAAUUUGGAUAAUUUUUGUCCUGUUCCUUGAACAAUUGUACACUUUGGCGCCAUCUAUAUACUUGUAGUUUAAGACUGGGAUAUGCCAUAUGAGCAGCUAUUCAUAAAUCUACAUCAUUGUAUUUUUUCAAUUAUGAUAUUUUGGAUAAUUGUGUCCUGUUUGUUGAAUAAUGGGUUGUAUAUGUGAUAGUUUUGACCAACAAGUGUAUGUGCUGCUUGGUUAUGGGAAG